This 468-nucleotide ribosomal RNA is filed under the name uncultured bacterium. RNAcentral's name for it is "partial 16S ribosomal RNA". It matches the Rfam family "Bacterial small subunit ribosomal RNA", at positions 28 to 507 of the family's 1533-position model. The record is from RNAcentral.
GACGAACGCUGGCGGCGUGCUUAACACAUGCAAGUCGAACGGAAAGGCCCUGCUUUUGUGGGGUGCUAGAGUGGCCAACGGGCGAGUAACACGUGCGUAACCUGCCCUUGACUUUGGGAUAACUUCAGGAAACUGGGGAUAAUACCGGAUAGGAGACCCUGCUGCUUGGUGGGGGUUGGAAAGAUUCGGCGGUUGGGGAUGGACUCGCGGUUUAUCAGCUUGUUGGUGGGGUAUUGGCUUACCAAGGCCUUGACGGGUAGCCGGCCUUAGAGCGUGACCGGCCACAAGGGGACUGAGGUACGGCGCAGACUCCUACGGGAGGCAGCGGUGGGGAAUAUUGCACAAUGGGCGGAAGCCUGAUGCAGCAACGCCGCGUGCGGGAUGACGGCCUUCGGGUGGUAAACCGCUUUCGCCUGUGACGAAGCGUGAGUGACGGUAAUGGGUAAGGAAGCACCGGCUAACUACGUG